This 390-nucleotide transfer-messenger RNA is filed under the name Parcubacteria group bacterium RIFCSPHIGHO2_01_FULL_56_18. It matches the Rfam family "transfer-messenger RNA". Rfam says of the family: Bacterial tmRNA, also known as 10Sa RNA or SsrA, is named for its dual tRNA and mRNA-like properties. Its role is to liberate the mRNA from a stalled ribosome. RNAcentral also lists the same sequence under 1 other name. The record is from RNAcentral.
GGGGAUGAUUGGCUUCGACAGGGAGAUCGAUGCAUAUACAUGCAUGGCGGAAGUGGGAACCUUCCUAAAAAAUCCCAAACUCUAAGUGCAAACAAAACUGCACGGGGGGUUCUUUCUCCGAUUCAGGCGAAAGACCUCGGCCUCGUCUUCGCGUAAGCCUGGACGACCGUUCGUUUGGCUGGUAUCCGAUACACCAACGCGAGCGUCAUAACCAUCGGGUCCGAUCCUUAGUCCACUCCGGCUAAGGACCUAAAGAAAGAGAGUCCGAUACUGUACGAUCUUGUGCGUUCUUAACGUACAGUAUUCAAAACAAUCGAAUGCUCUACGCCACGUAGAUGUGUGUAUGUGUUUCUUUCUGGACGGGAGUUUCGAUGCUCCCCAUCUCCAUAU